CCCGUCCCCCGCCCCAUCAGAUCUAAACACUGGUCUGAUUGGUCACAAAAGGAUGCAGGGUAACAUUGAAACUGAUUUCAAGGUGUUUGUAGCACAUGGGCGAGUGUCAAACAGUU
Molecule: small nucleolar RNA, 116 nt
Filed under: Echinops telfairi (small Madagascar hedgehog)
Lineage: Eukaryota; Metazoa; Chordata; Mammalia; Afrosoricida; Tenrecidae
Description: Small nucleolar RNA SNORA61 (ENSETEG00000025566.1)
Source: RNAcentral